GGGAAACCAAACGAUAUUGCAUUAGAUGAUCACGUCAAAGGUAUGCAACAGUGUCAUGUGUGUAGAAACUAUGCAGCCGGUCAGUAUUAUGCACAGUGUCCCUUAAAUUCUAAGGUGAUUGCACAAGGUACGUGGAAAGAAAAUUGUACAGGAGCUUGUUUUACAAGAACAGAUGAUAUCGAUGAAAAAUUGGUCUAUAGAGGAUGUAUGGAUUCACAAUGGGGAUUACCCAAACCCCUUCCGCCUGAUGGAUGUUAUACAUAUUAUCUGGAAGUUUGGUGUAUAUGUCAUGGGAAUCUUUGUAACGGUGACGGUAUAGGAAUACCAACUGUAGAAUUUGAUGCACAUAUAAAGAAUGGAACAGGAACA
Molecule: long non-coding RNA, 369 nt
Organism: Patella vulgata (common limpet)
Lineage: Eukaryota; Metazoa; Mollusca; Gastropoda; Patellidae
Exons: 4
Source: RefSeq, a predicted model, not a curated record